CUCGAACUCCUGACCUCAGGUGAUCUGCCU
This 30-nucleotide non-coding RNA is filed under the name Homo sapiens (human). Lineage: Eukaryota; Metazoa; Chordata; Mammalia; Primates; Hominidae. The record is from RNAcentral.